CAGUAGCCACGGUAAUACGUAGGUGGCAAGCGUUGUCCGGAAUUAUUGGGCGUAAAGGGCUCGCAGGCGGUUUCUUAAGUCUGAUGUGAAAGCCCCCGGCUCAACCGGGGAGGGUCAUUGGAAACUGGGAAACUUGAGUGCAGAAGAGGAGAGUGGAAUUCCACGUGUAGCGGUGAAAUGCGUAGAGAUGUGGAGGAACACCAGUGGCGAAGGCGACUCUCUGGUCUGUAACUGACGCUGAGGAGCGAAAGCGUGGGGAGUGAACAGGAUUAGAGACCCCUGUAGUCCCUGUCUCUUAUAA
This 301-nucleotide ribosomal RNA is filed under the name uncultured bacterium. RNAcentral describes it as "partial 16S ribosomal RNA". It matches the Rfam family "Bacterial small subunit ribosomal RNA", at positions 509 to 809 of the family's 1533-position model. The record is from RNAcentral.